AACCAAAGCAUUCAUUAAAUUACCCACCAUUGACCUUCCACACUUCUCAGGAGAUUAUCACAAUUGGCUCGAAUACAGAGACACUUUUGAAUCACUCAUACACAACAACAAAUCAAUAGAUAGUAUUCAAAAGUUUCAUUAUUUGCGUGCAUCUCUGCAAGGUGAAGCUUCCGAUGUUAUUAAAUCGUUAGAAAUGUCAUCAAACAAUUACAGGGUAGCUUGGGAACUGAUCACAGAAAGAUAUAAUAACACACAUCAGCUGAUCUACAAUCAUCUUCACGCAUUAUUCAACAUACAAAACAUUGAAAAGGAAUCAGCAACAUCACUCAGACAAUUACUAGAUACAGUAAAUAAAAAUCUCAGAGCUCUUAAUACACUAGGCGAACCCACAGUAGAUUCAAUGUUGAUUUAUCUUAUUACCUCCAAAUUAGAUAUCACAACACUCAGAUAUUGGAAAGAAUCAAUCAAUAACGACACAGUAGAAAAGCCCACACUUCAAAAUUUAAAAACAUAUCUCAGUGAUCGUUUCAUGCUUUUACAAAAUCUCGAAGACACAAAAACCUCACAACAAACCGAUUCAAAAUCGCAUUCAUUAAAAUCAGAUACUAAAGAUAAACAAUCUCGCAUUUCUUGUCCCCUAUGUAAAGGUCAUCAUUUUCUAUUCGGUUGUUCACAAUUCAAACAAAUGACUGUGGAAAAGAGAAUAGAGAAGGUUUCCAAGUUUUCCAACUUCUGUGCUAACUGUUUGCAUAACGGUCAUGAAACAAAGUCAUGCCGUGGAGGAACAUGUAAAUAUUGUCAACAGAAACACAACACAAUGCUACACAUUCAUAAGGGACCGACCAAAGACACUGUGCACACCACACUCGCUAGUAACAGUAGCUCACAAUCACAACACGCAUCAGUUUUACUUUCCACUGCCUUAGUGCAUGUCAUCGCUAGUGAUGGAACACCACACUUAGCCAGGGUUUUGCUGGACAGUGGAAGUACCUCCUGUUACAUUACAAACAGUCUGAGUAAAAAGCUUAAUCUUACAUUCGAACCCAUUCACGGCACAGUUUCAGGCAUAAAUCAGCAGCAAACAAACAUUUUUUAUCGCACAAAUAUUCAGAUAAAAUCAUUACAUGGUUCAUUCACAACUAACUUAUCAUGUUUGGUACUUGAUACAAUAGCACAGUCAUUACCUUACAUGCGCAUCAAUACACAAGGUUUAAAUAUACCUAAACAUUUAAAACUAGCCGACCCUCAGUUCUAUGAACCCGCAGCAGUUGACAUAUUGCUAGGUGCAGACAUAUUUUGGCAAAUAAUUAGCAGCGGUCACAUUCGAUUAGGCAAAAACCAGCCUACUUUACAAGAAACUGAAUUAGGCUGGCUAGUUUCCGGUUGCACAACAAACACCGACAAGCAAGCAAACAGUUGUUUUUUCAAUAACAACAACUCAGAUCAGUUAUCACGCUUCUGGGAGCUAGAUAGUUUAACUAAUACACAAGUAAACGAUCCUUCCGACUCAGAUGCAUGCGAGAUAAUUUUCACUCAAACAACUACAAGGCAAAGUGAUGGUAGAUUCGUUGUCACUAUUCCAUUUAAAAAGUCACCUGAUUGUUUAGGUGACUCCUAUUUUCAAGCAAAAAGACGGUUUUAUUCCAUAGAAAACCGCAUGAAUUCAAAUCCCACAUACAAACAACAGUACUCAAACUUCAUAACAGAGUACAUACAACUAGGUCACAUGUCUUUAAACAAACACUCACAUCAAAAUACAUACAUUAAAUCAGAACAUAAUACAUCAAACCUACAGUCAGGUACCAUCACGAACACAAACACACAGCACUCACCAGUAUACUACCUUCCACAUCACGGUAUUGUACGCGAGACCAGCACCACUACAAAAUUCAGAGUAGUAUUUGAUGGUUCCGCAAAGACGUCCUCAAAACUAUCACUCAACGACAUUCAGUUAGUAGGACCUGUCGUCCAAGACGAUCUUGUUUCUAUACUCAUACGAUUUCGACAACAUAAGUAUAUAAUAUCAUCAGAUAUUGAGAAGAUGUUUCGCCAGGUGAUGCUGAUGGAGCAUCAGCGCCCAACACAACAAAUCAUAUGGCGAUACAAUCCUACGGAACCUCUGCAAGCAUAUACACUCAACACUGUCACAUAUGGCACGGCAUCGGCGCCGUAUUUAGCAACACGCUGCAUAAAACAAAUAGGCUUAGAUUGUAAAACCACACAGAAUCAUUCAGACAGCUAUGAUCACAAAAUUGUCUCCGAGGUCAUCUUGCAUGAUUUUUAUUGUGAUGAUCUUCUGACAGGAACAGAUGAUGAAUCAUUACUCUUUGAAAUCGCCAAGGGUGUCUUUCUAGAAUUAAAAAAAUAUCAAUUUCCACUUAGAAAAUGGCAGUCUAAUUGUCAAACUGUUCUACAACAUCUGGGUUUCAAUGAUUCAAAUGAUACAACAUUCAAUCUUAGCUCAAAUGAUCCAUCUAAAACACUAGGCAUUUAUUGGAACAUUAACAAAGACACAAUUUCAUACACAGUACAUUCAGAAUUUGUGUCACAAAAACAAAUCACAAAACGCACGAUCUUAUCCACCAUAGGUCAUAUUUUCGACCCACUAGGACUUAUUAGCCCUUGCAUACUCGAAGCUAAGUUAAUUAUGCAACAGAUGUGGACACACAACGUCAGCUGGGACGGUGAAAUACCGGUUUCAAUACAACAACAAUGGGCAAAGUUCGUGGAAUCGUUAUCUUUUAUAAAUCAUUUAUCUAUUCCUCGGCGAGCAUUUCAUGACUCAUCGCGCGAUUACAUUGAACUGCAUAUUUUUUGCGACGCCUCACAACAGGCGUACGGUGCAUGCGCAUAUAUACGUACUUAUACAUCAGAUGGCAGUAUCAGUGUUCAACUGUUAGUUGCCAAGGGACGAGUGGCUCCUUUAAAAGCACUUACCAUACCGCGACUUGAAUUAUGUGCCGCGUUUACCGGUGUUAAUUUAAGUAAUAAGAUAUUGAACUCCGUUCGCAACAAAAAUUGUAAGUGUUACUAUUGGAGUGACUCAAUAAUUGUUUUAUCUUGGAUAAACUCACCUACACAUAAAUUACAAACAUUCGUAAAACACAAAGUCACGGACAUUCUCAAACAUACUGAACCACAGUCAUGGUACUAUGUACCAACUAAACAAAACCCAGCUGACAUUAUUACUAAAUGUACCAAUGCACAACAAUUACUCCAUACACCUUUAUGGUUUUCAGGACCUGACUUUUUAAGGAAUGAUGAUAAACACAGCUGGCCUCAACAACCAGGGCAUCUCAGCGUAUCUGACCUUCCAGAAGUCCGGUCUCAAACACAUCUCACGCACAAACAUAUGUCCGACUGCGACACGGCACGGCUGCCGCGUCAUCACCGAAUCGAACUUCUACGCCAACAUUUUUGGAGACGCUUUAAUAAGGAAUAUAUUUCCCAGUUGCACCAACGAACGCGCUGGCAACGCUCACGCGGCGCGCUCACAGAGGGCUCAUUGGUCAUCGUGAAAGAUGAGGCGCUACCGGUGGCUCAGUGGCCAUUGGGACGUAUCGUGAAGCUGUAUCCGGGACAUGACGGAGAAGCUCGAGUGGCGGACAUCAAAGUAAAGACCGGGACAAUCAGACGGGCAUUUCAUAAAAUAUGCCCAUUACUGGAUGAACCAUCGGACUGAUCAUGAAAUAUCAUACAUCAUCAUCACCUGGGCUGGCCUUUCUCUGGUCGCCCGGGAAUAUGUUAACGCACACGUUAACACGCACACACAAGACACACAUGCAUCUCAAGCAGAGGGGAGCGGGCGGCGUGGCGGUGCAGCGACGGCUCGCGCGCCCUCCAACCACACCUUACGACAACGCGAGCAAGAACGGACGCGAUUGCGAAUUUAAUUUGUGCUAAUAGCCUACUUAAGAAAAACUAUUAAACCAAGAAAUACA
Molecule: RNA transcript, 3941 nt
Organism: Helicoverpa armigera (cotton bollworm)
Lineage: Eukaryota; Metazoa; Arthropoda; Insecta; Lepidoptera; Noctuidae
Exons: 2
Source: RefSeq, a predicted model, not a curated record